AGUGCAAAGGGUCUUAAUACUUGAAAAUGAAAAGUUAAAAGCAUCACUAGCUCAGAGUAAACAAGACAUACAAUUAUUACAAGAGAAGAUAACAAUAAUAAACAUGCAACAAAUUGAAAGAGAUAAACAAGUGCAAGAAAAAGAACAAAUGUUAGUAUUGAAAAUUAAAAACUUGGA
Molecule: long non-coding RNA, 177 nt
Organism: Amphimedon queenslandica
Lineage: Eukaryota; Metazoa; Porifera; Demospongiae; Haplosclerida; Niphatidae
Exons: 3
Source: RefSeq, a predicted model, not a curated record